This 1056-nucleotide ribosomal RNA is filed under the name Montaphe elrodi. Its description in RNAcentral is "partial large subunit ribosomal RNA". Lineage: Eukaryota; Metazoa; Arthropoda; Diplopoda; Polydesmida; Xystodesmidae. The record is from RNAcentral.
GACUAUAUUAAGGUUUAUUGUUGUUAUUAUAAUAUAUUGGAUUAGUAUUAUGAGUGAAAAUUGAGGUUACUUUAUAGAGAAAUGAGUACUGAUUAGGAAUUGUGUUAAUUUAUUAUAAAUAUUAGGUUGUUUAUUACCUUUUGUAUUAGGGUUUUUUAAUUUGGUUUGAUGUUAAUUUUAUCUUGAUGAAUAACGGGCUAUUAUUUAAGUGUGGCAGUUUUGUUGCAUAAAGUUGUUUAUUAUUUAAUGGUUAUGAAAUAUUAUUCAAGUUAUUUUUUAUCUAGUUUUCUAAGGAGUAUAAUAGUAGAUAUUUAUGUUAUGAAGGUAAGCGGGGAUUAGCUUGUUUAUUAUUUAUAUGUUUUUGUUAGGUUAUUUAUUAGUGAAGUUGAAAGUUCUUAAUUUGAUGAUGUUAUUAUAGAUUAAGUUUUUUUUGUUAAUUUUUUUAAGCUAUGUGUCAAUUAGAAAUUUUAUUUUAAUUUUUAUUUUAAGGGUAUAAUGAUGAAAUUAGUAAUAUAUUAAUUAUAAAUUUUGUUAUUAAAUUGGUUUUUGAUAGUGGUUUAUAAGGGGGAUUAAGGAUGAAGAAUUCGGCAAAAUUAGCUUUUGACUGUUUAGCAAAAACAUUGUUUUUUGUUAGUAUAAAAAAUAAGUUCUGUCCACUGUCUGUAUGAUGAAGGGCUGCGGUAUUUUGACUGUAUGAAGGUAGCAUAAUCAUUAGCUUUUUAAUUGAAAGCUGGUAUGAAGGUGAAACAGGGGCUGGCUGUUUUAUCUUUAAUAAAUGAAUUUUAUUUUUAUGUGAAAAAUCAUAAGUUAAUUUAAGGGACAAGAAGACCCUAGUAAGUUUUAUUUUUAAUUGUGAUGCUUAUAUAGGUUAAAAAUUUGUAUAAUUUAUGAUUUAGGAGUUUGACUGGGGCGGUAUGUUAAAAACAUUAUUUAUUAUUUAAUUUUUGAUAGCGGAGUUUAGACCUAAGAAGGUUAGGUGAAUGUAAAACUACUGUAGGGAUAACAGCGUAAUUUUUUUUAAGAGUUCUUAUUGACGGAAAAGUUUGCGACCUCGAU